AGUGAACGCUGGCGGUAGGCCUAACACAUGCAAGUCGAACGGCAGCACAGUAAGAGCUUGCUCUUACGGGUGGCGAGUGGCGGACGGGUGAGGAAUACAUCGGAAUCUACUUUUUCGUGGGGGAUAACGUAGGGAAACUUACGCUAAUACCGCAUACGACCUACGGGUGAAAGCAGGGGAUCUUCGGACCUUGCGCGAUUGAAUGAGCCGAUGUCGGAUUAGCUAGUUGGCGGGGUAAAGGCCCACCAAGGCGACGAUCCGUAGCUGGUCUGAGAGGAUGAACAGCCACAAUGGAAGUGAGACACGGUCCAGACUCCUACGGGAGGCAGAAGUGGGGAAUAUUGGGCAAUGGGCGCAAGCCUGAUCCAGCCAUACCGCGUGGGUGAAGAAGGCCUUCGGGUUGUAAAGCCCUUUUGUUGGGAAAGAAAAGCAGCAGGUUAAUACCCCGCUGUUCUGACGGUACCCAAAGAAUAAGCACCGGCUAACUUCGUG
This 492-nucleotide ribosomal RNA is filed under the name uncultured bacterium. RNAcentral describes it as "partial 16S ribosomal RNA". It matches the Rfam family "Bacterial small subunit ribosomal RNA", at positions 29 to 507 of the family's 1533-position model. The record is from RNAcentral.